This is a small nucleolar RNA of Sorex araneus (European shrew), 126 nucleotides long. Lineage: Eukaryota; Metazoa; Chordata; Mammalia; Eulipotyphla; Soricidae. The record is from Ensembl.
UACUCCCUUCGCAUUUUGCCUAUUUGAGUUAUGUCUUUAUUGGUUACUCAAGUGGAGCAGGGGAAAUAUCCUUUUAUAAUUUAAGCAAACAAGUGUUUGUCUUAUAUCUUUUCAGAGGAAACAAUA